CUUGAAGUGGGGGCCUGAGUGCGGCUACACU
This 31-nucleotide small RNA is filed under the name Expression vector pIGALBSTP. RNAcentral's name for it is "RNA I". The record is from RNAcentral.